Molecule: long non-coding RNA, 542 nt
Organism: Syngnathus acus (greater pipefish)
Lineage: Eukaryota; Metazoa; Chordata; Actinopteri; Syngnathiformes; Syngnathidae
Exons: 2
Source: RefSeq, a predicted model, not a curated record
CUUGAGAAUGACGGCGCUACAGAAACCUUCAGAGUCGGCGCUCUUGAGAAGGGCCUGCAAGCCGCGUCAAAACGGCCCACGGGGACUUGCCAGAAUCUGCCACUUAGUCGUGUCUAUUUGAAGUGAAUUGCUUCCAAAUAACUGUCGAAGAUGGCGGCCAGCGACAGAGUGGGAAUAAUGAAGCCAAGCUUGGGUACAAGAGCCCUAUCUGCACAAAAUCCACCAUGAGAUUUGGAGCGUGUGGCUACCUGCCAGGGACAUUCUCCAGAGGCGCAGGCAAGUCCUUGAAAGUCGUCGCGGACCAUGGCGGACUGUCGGGCCUCCCACUGGCUCAGACUGUUCACCUCCCCGCAUGGAUAGCGCACUGACCGGGGUGAGAAGAAGAGCAAAGUGUGGCGGGAUUCUCCUCUUUGCGGCGCCAUCAUCACGACCGAGGUGACGAUACCUGCCGGCUCGCACUUGUUCCUGUCUGUCCGAUGGAGCUUCCACCCUCUUGCGCAGGAGCACUCGUAGGAGGUGUAGCCCGGCUUGCAGAACUGGGA